RNAcentral lists this ribosomal RNA (497 nucleotides) under uncultured bacterium. RNAcentral describes it as "partial 16S ribosomal RNA". It matches the Rfam family "Bacterial small subunit ribosomal RNA", at positions 28 to 507 of the family's 1533-position model. The record is from RNAcentral.
GAUGAACGCUGGCGGCGUGCCUAAUACAUGCAAGUCGAGCGAACAGAUAAGGAGCUUGCUCCUUUGACGUUAGCGGCGGACGGGUGAGUAACACGUAGGUAACCUACCUAUAAGACUGGGAUAACUUCGGGAAACCGGAGCUAAUACCGGAUAAUAUUUCGAACCGCAUGGUUCGAUAGUGAAAGAUGGCUUUGCUAUCACUUAUAGAUGGACCCGCGCCGUAUUAGCUAGUUGGUAAGGUAACGGCUUACCAAGGCGACGAUACGUAGCCGACCUGAGAGGGUGAUCGGCCACACUGGAACUGAGACACGGUCCAGACUCCUACGGGAGGCAGCAGUAGGGAAUCUUCCGCAAUGGGCGAAAGCCUGACGGAGCAACGCCGCGUGAGUGAUGAAGGUCUUCGGAUCGUAAAACUCUGUUAUUAGGGAAGAGCAUACGUGUAAGUAACUGUGCACGUCUUGACGGUACCUAAUCAGAAAGCCACGGCUAACUACGUG